AAGAUAAAGAUCAAAAUCUGGACUUGCUGCUUCUCGCAGCCAUAAUUUUGUGUCUUCAAGCAAGAAAAAGACACACACUGGCACACACACAGUGUGUUUUUGGCAACAAAUUUCAACGCCAUUAAAGUGAUUAAUGGUAAUCACAAGCAAGCAAGGAGUUGCGAGCUCACUAUUUAACUGCCACCCUCUCUCUCUCUCUCGUCGUCAUCAUCGUCGUCAUCGCCAUUCAUCACUAUCAUCUCUCACUCCAAGAUUGCAAUUUGCGAGCAUCCUUUUUUUCUCUCACAGUCGCACAUAAAUAAAAAAAACUAGAAAUCUCGGCGCAAGACCUUCUUACCUGGUUGGACCAUUUCCAGGCUGACCAUACACUGGAUACGUCACGGAAGAGAUGGGUGCAAUUAGUCCGUGGCCCGGAAUUUUCUUCUUUUUCAUUGCGCUGAGUGCAUUCUGCCAAUCUUCUGCUGAUGGGAUCGAAGCAGACCAACCCGUUGCUCUUUAUGUAAAUGCGUCCGAAGCAUCAGCAAAAAAGAUACCAAAAACCUUGUUUGGUAUAUUUUUUGAGGUGAGUUUGAUCAGCGUUCACGGAAUUUUGUAUAUACACCAUAGCUCAUCAGCAUCAAUUACACAUCUUGCAGCACCAAUUUAAUAUUCCAGUGCUCGCUGGAUUCCCAGCGGUCGCUGGGUUUCCAGCGGUGCUGGAACUCAGCGGGCGUUGGUUUUCAUGGAAUUCAAUUCCAAAAUUAUCCCCUAAAGUCUUCGAAAAUCAGUGAAAAUCGGGGUGAAAUCCAACCACGAAUUCUUUAAAAGUCGUCUGGAAUCUAUGUGAAUUCCAUGGAAUUUAAAUUCCAUGGACUUUUUAAAGUCUGUGUAAAUCCACAACUUAUACACCCCCCUAAAUCUCUAGCUAACUGGGCAAUGGCAUGAGUCUGUUACUUUAAAUUCCUUCAUAUCAUUUCAAUGUUAUUUACAUAAAGGAUCAAUAAGAAUGUUAACUCAUUAGCAGAUGUGUAAGUAUUCAGAUACACAGAUAGAAAGAGAAGAACAGGUAAUCAAUCAGCCAACCUACAGGAGGAUUUCAGAAGCCAACAAUACAAGUAUGAAUGAUACUUUAAAUCUGUAUCAACUAUACAUGAUUUUCAUAUGGUUUCUUACAAUGAUUUUGGGAAUGUCGUCAAAUAAAGGGACGGAAACAAGUAAAAGAGAGCUUGAUUUUUCAGAAGAUACAUGUGCACUUACAGUUCUACAAGUAUUUUUCUAUGCAAGUUGUCAAUGUAGUUUCUGGAACAGCACCUAUGACUGCUUCUUUCUUCUCCCCAUUCUUGAAGAUUAUGACAGUAGGAAUACUCCGGAUCCCAUACUGGGUUGCAAUCGUAGAGCAAUCAUCAGUGUUAACCUUGAAGCAUUUGAGCUUCCCAGCAUAGUCCUUAGCCAGUUUGUCGAUGACAGGGUGGAUCAUGCGGCAGGGCCCACACCAUGGUGCCCAGAAUUCAACCAGAACAGGCACAUCAGAUUCAAGCACAAGAGAUUGCCAGUCCGGAUCAGUAACAGCAGCCACUGCAGUUUCCAAGGAACUAAUGAUAAGCCAUUGUAUAAGGUGGAAGAUUUCCAAACUCAUAUUGUACUGCAACAUGAUUCUUUUCGAUGAAUUCCUAUUCCUUUCCAUAAUGCUAUAAAUACUCUACUGAAUGUUCAGAAACUUUGAAGUGC
This is a long non-coding RNA of Salvia miltiorrhiza (redroot sage), 1707 nucleotides long. RefSeq lists it as uncharacterized. NCBI's taxonomy places the organism in Eukaryota, Viridiplantae, Streptophyta, Magnoliopsida, Lamiales, Lamiaceae. The record is from RefSeq and is a predicted model, not a curated record. The transcript is spliced from 2 exons.